Molecule: ribosomal RNA, 410 nt
Filed under: uncultured bacterium
Lineage: Bacteria
Description: bacterial SSU rRNA
Rfam family: Bacterial small subunit ribosomal RNA
Source: RNAcentral
AAUGGGGGCAACCCUGAUCCAGCCAUUCCGCGUGAGUGAAGAAGGCCUUCGGGUUGUAAAGCUCUUUCGGCCGGGAAGAAAUCGCAUCUCCUAAUACGGGGUGUGGAUGACGGUACCGGAAGAAGAAGCACCGGCUAACUACGUGCCAGCAGCCGCGGUAAUACGUAGAGUGCGAGCGUUAAUCGGAAUUACUGGGCGUAAAGCGUGCGCAGGCGGUUUUGUAAGCCAGAUGUGAAAUCCCCGGGCUCAACCUGGGAACUGCAUUUGAGACUGCUCAACUGGAGUUUGGCAGAGGGGGGUGGAAUUCCACGUGUAGCAGUGAAAUGCGUAGAGAUGUGGAGGAACACCGAUGGCGAAGGCAGCCCCCUGGGCCAAUACUGACGCUCAUGCACGAAAGCGUGGGGAGCAAA